This 331-nucleotide ribosomal RNA is filed under the name uncultured archaeon. RNAcentral describes it as "bacterial SSU rRNA". It matches the Rfam family "Archaeal small subunit ribosomal RNA", at positions 318 to 648 of the family's 1478-position model. The record is from RNAcentral.
CUCUCCUACGGGGCGCAGCAGGCGCGAAAACUCUACAAUGCAGGUCAACUGCGAUAGGGGAACAUCGAGUGGCGUCCAUAUUGGAUGUCUGUCCACCCGCCUAAAAAGCGGGUGUUAGCAAGGGCCGUGCAAGACCGGUGCCAGCCGCCGCGGUAAUACCGGCGGCUCGAGUGGUGGCCGAUAUUAUUGAGUCUAAAGGGUCCGUAGCCGGCUUUGCAAGUCUCUCGGGAAAUCCAGCGGCUUAACCGUUGGUCGUCCGGGGGGUACUACAUUGCUUGGGACUGGGAGAGGUAGGAGGUACUCAGGGGGUAGGAGUGAUAUCCUGUUAUCC